UACGUAGGUGACAAGAGUUAUCCGGAAUUACUGGGCGUAAAGCGCACGCAGGCGGCGCAUUAAGCCUGACGUGAAAUCUCCUGGCUUAACUGGGAGGGGUCGUUGGAGACUGAUGGGCUUGAGGCGAUGAGAGGGGUGUAGAAUUCCCGGUGUAGUGGUGGAAUGCGUAGAUAUCGGGAGGAAUACCAGUGGCGAAGGCGGCACCCUGGCAUUAGCCUGACGCUCAGGUGCGAAGGCGUGGGGAGCGAACGGG
RNAcentral lists this ribosomal RNA (253 nucleotides) under uncultured bacterium. RNAcentral describes it as "partial 16S ribosomal RNA". It matches the Rfam family "Bacterial small subunit ribosomal RNA", at positions 524 to 776 of the family's 1533-position model. The record is from RNAcentral.